RNAcentral lists this long non-coding RNA (701 nucleotides) under Olea europaea (common olive). Its description in RNAcentral is "long non-coding RNA (OEUR_LNC004003)". The record is from RNAcentral. Lineage: Eukaryota; Viridiplantae; Streptophyta; Magnoliopsida; Lamiales; Oleaceae.
CUAAGUUACUUAUUUUGUCAAAUAUUAUUUUCAAAUAUACUUAUUAUAAUCACAAAGAGACGCAAAAGAUAAAAAAUUGUCAUUACAUUAAUUAAAAUGUUAUAAGAUGACUAAACAGCACUAGACACUGUUACAAACACGUUAAAGGAUGUAUAAAAACGCACAGUAAGGUCGAACUGGAUAACAGGGUUUAUGUUUUGGAUUUAAUAAAACCAAAGGCGCAAAUAAUUUUCCCAUUGAUGCCAUGGUUGAUUUUUGAAGCAGUUGCUGACAAAUCAUAGAAUACUUAGUUGCACUUGAUACUAAGUUAAACGUACCUAAGUUACUUAUUUUGCCAAAUAUUAUUUUCAAAUAUACUUAUUAUAAUCACAAAGAGACGCAAAAAAUAGAAAAUUGUCGUCACAUUAAAUUAAAAUGUUAUAAGAUGACUAAACAGCACUAGACACUGUUACAAACACGUUAAAGGAUGUAUAAAAACGCACAGUAAGGUCUCGUUGUUACCUGAUAUGUCACAAGGACAGCCAAUGACCGGAAAUUGAAGGUAAACUCAGAAUCCAACUCCGAAGUUGAAUAAAAUCUUACAGACAACGGCAGAAAAGUAGAAGUGUAAAUUACUAGAUUAAUAGAGUUAGGCAAGGAAAUGUGUUGGUUAGAGUUCCUUAAACUCCUCUAACAAAACCAAUCACACUUUCCAUGCUUAC